GAAGCCAUUGUGCCUUCCACCCAAGAUGGCAGGAGGGAGCAUCAAGUCCUAGACCCUGAACACCUGAAUAUCCAACAACAGGGGAUUCAAGUGAAUCAUGACGUAUUUCACAGCACCAAAGAGCGUGCUUGUGGCAAGGAUGUACUCCAUGGGAAAUGCCUUUUUCACUCAUAUCCUGGGUAAUGUCUAAAUCUGCACAUAUAAUACGAUCAUUUUAGUUUUUAGAGCUAGUGUAGGUGUGUGUGUACAAUGUAUAUGUGAAGGACUAGACGGAGAAACAGAAACUCUAUCUAUAAUUGUCUCCGAGAGCUGGAAUUAUGAUGGAGUGCUCACUUCACCUGUGUCUUUAUGCAUCAUCCAAAAUUUCUCCAGUGAUCAUUUAAGACUUUUAAGGUAAGAAAAACACUUAACAUUUUAAACAGUCAUAGAAAUGUUACCUAUUUAUUUUUUCCCAGUAUCACACAGCUGCUAGAAGCUAAUAGAAACUCCAGAGACACUGGAAACUGUCUCUUAAACCCCUAGCCCCGAUUACGUCCCACGUUAGGUCUACAAAUAAACUGAGGAAGCAUGUAAGGUAUUUAAUAAGCUGCCGGUAUAUAUUCCUGUUCUAUGCCAGGCAGGCACUGAGCUAAACACUUUCUUGCAUAUCAUCUCAAAUUCUCCCAGAACCCUAUAAGGUUUUUCUCCCCAUUUUAUGGAGGAGAAAACUGAAGCGUCGGGAGGUUAGCUGACUGCUCAGAGUCCCACGAGGGCAGAGCUGGAUUCGAAGUCGGACCUGCCUGGCUUCACGGACCACCUUCCUUCGCCACGGCCCGCUGAUGAAGGUGUUGACUGUUUUUCCUCUGACACAGCAGCCUGGGACUGCUCUCCAGGCCUGAAAUGUCCUUUUUCCUUAGUUUGCUCCCAAGGCAGAGGAUAGAUGUCCCCCAGAUUGGGACUGUCUCAUCUCCCUACCGUCAGCCAGCCCCAGCAUGUAGUUGGUGGGCGUGGAGACUGCCACUUCUCCACACCCUGUCUCUGGCAGGACAGAGCCAAAGAACACCCCUCUUUGAGAAAAGCUUAACCCCAGAACACAGUUUUCUCUUAGGGAGUCCUGGGCUUGAAUCUGUCAUGCGCUGUGGGACCUUGGCCAGGUCACCUAACCGGAAGCUCUGCCUCCUUCUGUGCAUUGCCGCUGUAACCGAACUCAAGGGGUCGCUGCUUGGGGUGCAUCCAAUUGAACACAACCCGAGGAAGUGUUGAAAGCAAAGACCUUUUAUUACUUGUCACAAUGACACCAGCAGCAUCAACUCCAGCC
Prionailurus viverrinus (fishing cat) is the source of this 1297-nucleotide long non-coding RNA. RefSeq lists it as uncharacterized. Lineage: Eukaryota; Metazoa; Chordata; Mammalia; Carnivora; Felidae. The record is from RefSeq and is a predicted model, not a curated record. The transcript has 3 exons.